UACGUAGGGUGCGAGCGUUGUCCGGAAUUAUUGGGCGUAAAGAGCUCGUAGGCGGUCUGUCGCGUCGAUCGUGAAAACUUGGGGCUUAACCCUGAGCUUGCGGUCGAUACGGGCAUGACUGGAGUUCGGCAGGGGAGACUGGAAUUCCUGGUGUAGCGGUGAAAUGCGCAGAUAUCAGGAGGGACACCGGUGGCGAAGGCGGGUCUCUGGGCCGAUACUGACGCUGAGGAGCGAAAGCGUGGGGAGCGAACAGG
This 254-nucleotide ribosomal RNA is filed under the name uncultured bacterium. RNAcentral's name for it is "partial 16S ribosomal RNA". It matches the Rfam family "Bacterial small subunit ribosomal RNA", at positions 524 to 776 of the family's 1533-position model. The record is from RNAcentral.